Molecule: ribosomal RNA, 450 nt
Filed under: uncultured bacterium
Lineage: Bacteria
Description: partial 16S ribosomal RNA
Rfam family: Bacterial small subunit ribosomal RNA
Source: RNAcentral
GUGGGGAAUCUUCCGCAAUGGACGAAAGUCUGACGGAGCAACGCCGCGUGAACGAUGACGGCCUUCGGGUUGUAAAGUUCUGUUAUACGGGACGAAUGGUACGACGGCCAAUACCCGUCGUAAGUGACGGUACCGUAAGAGAAAGCCACGGCUAACUACGUGCCAGCAGCCGCGGUAAUACGUAGGUGGCAAGCGUUGUCCGGAAUUUUUGGGCGUAAAGGGCGCGCAGGCGGCGUCGUAAGUCGUUCUUAAAAGUGCGGGGCUUAACCCCGUGAGGGGACCGAAACUACGAUGGUAGAGUAUCGGAGAGGAAAGCGGAAUUCCUAGUGUAGCGGUGAAAUGCGUAGAUAUUAGGAGGAACACCAGUGGCGAAAGCGGCUUUCUGGACGACAACUGACGCUGAGGCGCGAAAGCCAGGGGAGCAAACGGGAUUAGAAACCCUUGUAGUCC